ACGAACGCUGGCGGCGUGCUUAACACAUGCAAGUCGAGCGGUAAGGCCCUUUCGGGGGUACACGAGCGGCGAACGGGUGAGUAACACGUGGGUGACCUGCCCUCAGCUCUGGGAUAAGCCUGGGAAACCGGGUCUAAUACCGGAUAUGACUCCAUGACGCAUGUUGUGGGGUGGAAAGCCUUGUGCGGCUGAGGAUGGGCCCGCGGCCUAUCAGCUUGUUGGUGGGGUGAUGGCCUACCAAGGCGACGACGGGUAGCCGGCCUGAGAGGGCGACCGGCCACACUGGGACUGAGACACGGCCCAGACUCCUACGGGAGGCAGCAGUGGGGAAUCUUGCGCAAUGGGCGAAAGCCUGACGCAGCGACGCCGCGUGAGGGAUGACGGCCUGGUGUAACU
Molecule: ribosomal RNA, 396 nt
Filed under: uncultured bacterium
Lineage: Bacteria
Description: bacterial SSU rRNA
Rfam family: Bacterial small subunit ribosomal RNA
Source: RNAcentral